RNAcentral lists this ribosomal RNA (409 nucleotides) under uncultured bacterium. Its description in RNAcentral is "bacterial SSU rRNA". It matches the Rfam family "Bacterial small subunit ribosomal RNA", at positions 365 to 769 of the family's 1533-position model. The record is from RNAcentral.
UUGGCAUGGGCGAAAGCCUGAUCAGCCUGCCGCGUGUGUGAAGAAGGUCUUCGGAUUGUAAAGCACUUUAAGUUGGGAGGAAGGGCAUUAACCUAAUACGUUAGUGUUUUGACGUUACCGACAGAAUAAGCACCGGCUAACUCUGUGCCAGCAGCCGCGGUAAUACAGAGGGUGCAAGCGUUAAUCGGAAUUACUGGGCGUAAAGCGCGCGUAGGUGGUUUGUUAAGUUGAAUGUGAAAUCCCCGGGCUCAACCUGGGAACUGCAUCCAAAACUGGCAAGCUAGAGUAUGGUAGAGGGUAGUGGAAUUUCCUGUGUAGCGGUGAAAUGCGUAGAUAUAGGAAGGAACACCAGUGGCGAAGGCGACUACCUGGACUGAUACUGACACUGAGGUGCGAAAGCGUGGGGAGC